GAUGAACGCUGGCGGCGUGCCUAAUACAUGCAAGUCGAGCGAACGGACGAGACGCUUGCUUCUCUGACGUUAGCGGCGGACGGGUGAGUAACACGUGGAUAACCUACCUAUAAGACUGGGAUAACUUCGGGAAACCGGAGCUAAUACCGGAUAAUAUUUUGAACCGCAUGGUUCAAAAGUGAAAGUCGGUCUUGCUGUCACUUAUAGAUGGAUCCGCGCUGCAUUAGCUAGUUGGUAAGGUAACGGCUUACCAAGGCAACGAUGCAUAGCCGACCUCAGAGGGUGAUCGGCCACACGGGAGGUGAGCCACGGUCAAGACGCCUAAGGGACGCAGCAGUAGGGAACCUGACGCAAUGGUGGAAAGCCUUACGGAGCGACGGCGCGCGAGUGACGACGGUGCUCGGAGCGUAAUACCCUGUUACUAGGGAAGAACAGAUGUGUAAUUAGCUGUGCAGAGAGUGACGGUAACUAAUCAGAAAGCAACGGCUAACUACGUG
RNAcentral lists this ribosomal RNA (497 nucleotides) under uncultured bacterium. Its description in RNAcentral is "partial 16S ribosomal RNA". It matches the Rfam family "Bacterial small subunit ribosomal RNA", at positions 28 to 507 of the family's 1533-position model. The record is from RNAcentral.